RNAcentral lists this ribosomal RNA (2567 nucleotides) under Khawkinea quartana. RNAcentral describes it as "SSU rRNA". It matches the Rfam family "Eukaryotic small subunit ribosomal RNA". Lineage: Eukaryota; Euglenozoa; Euglenophyceae; Euglenales; Euglenaceae. The record is from RNAcentral.
AAUCUGGUUGAUCCUGCCAGUAGUCAUAUGCUUCGUUCAAGGGCUAAGCCAUGCAUGUCUCAGCGCAAACGGUCUCGAACAGUGGGUCUGUGAAUGGCUCCUUACAUCAGCAGUCAUCUGCGUGAUAGAGUGUGCCUAGCACCAACCAUUGGCAGGUGCUCAGAUCGGACAUAUCCUCCAAAACCUUGUGGCUAAUACGCGAUCGCCAAGGUCGGCCAAGUUCAGUUCUUUCUCAACAACCCUGGCUGGGUCCGCGUGUGCUGCCUGGUGCUCUCUGUGGUGCUGGCAGUGCACACCAGCUGGGUGUUUGGCCGAUUGCGCCCAGCCGAUAUGAAGACCAGCGUCCUGUGCAAGGACAGUGUGUUCCGUUCGGAUGAUUCAGGCUGGUCCCUCUCUUUGUGGACAGUGCGCUGGCAGAGUGUUUGAAUGGGACCAGUGGCCUCGUGUCACUGGACACCCAGAGCCGUGCUUGAUCACAGGAACUUCUGACCUAUCAGCUUGGACUGUGGUGUCGUGGACCACAGUGGCCUUGACGGGUAACGGAGAAUCAGGGUUCGAUUCCGGAGAGGGAGCCUGAGAAACGGCUACCACUACCAAGGUGGGCAGCAGGCGCGGAAAUUGCCCAAUCCAAAAGCCUAUCGUGGGAGGCAGCGACGAACUGCAGCAAUCCUGCUGGCUUCAACAUGCCAGUGGGACUUGGAAUGGAUGCAAUCCAAACACAGUGAUGAGUAUCAACUGGAGGGCAAGUCUGGUSCCAGCAGCCGAGGUAAUUCCAGCUCCAAGAGCAUAUACUGACAUUGCUGCUGUUAAAACACUUGUAGUCUGCCACUGGGUUGCAGGUCUGCCGAGUGGCCGGCGGGUGGCGUGUUCGCUCCCACUCUCUCAACCACUUCUGUGUGUUGCGGAAGAGUGUGGUGUGGCGCGUCUCUCUGCUGGGUCGAAACCCUCGGUGGUAUGUCCCUGCGCCCGAUUGACCAGUGACGGUGAGAACUGCUCUUGCCAAAAGCCUCCUUCAGUGGAGGCCAAGGCGGUGAUUGCCUCCAACGCCGGCGUCCUGUUGUGACCAUCCAUGGUGGGACAGGGCCCUCUGUGGUCCUGCAGAUUCAACACACCCCACCGGUCCACCACCAGAGCCCACCGUCAAUUGACACCGUGGAAAACUCAGUGUGCUCAAAGCGACCUGCCGAUGGCUGAAUGCCUGUCCAUGGAAUGUCAGAGCAUCGACCGAGUGUGGCCAAAUCUGGAGUUGUGCUGGGCCUUGGAGCCCACUCAGGGCAAUGUGGUGCAUGGUCCUUCUUCUCUCCUUCUCCUUGGGUUCUUUUGCUCCUCUCUGUGUCUCUCCGCGCGCUGCUGUGACCUGAUCACAGCACGUCGUUGUGGGAUCACAGGUGAGUGUGUGAUUGGCCCUUGGGGAGCCUUGGAGGAUGUCAAGUGGUCAGGAGCAUCGAACGGAGACGAUGGGACCGAUCGCGGAGCNAAAGGUAUUGCAGCGCCAGAGGUGAAAUUCUUAGAUCGCCGCAGGACCAACUGCAGCGAAGGCGUUCUGCAAGUGCGUGUUCGUCGAUCAAGAAUGAGAGUCUGGGGAGCAAAGAUGAUCAGACACCGUCGUAGUCCAGCACCGUAAACUGUGCCGGCUCGGCAUUGGCAGAGGAUCGCAUUCUUGUUCCUACCCUGCCAGUGCCAUGCCCCCCGCAACGAGAAAUCCACAGCCUGUGGGUUCAGGGGGGAGUACGUUCGCAAGGCUGAAACUUAAAGGAAUUGACGGAAUGGCACCACAAGGCGUGGAGUAUGCGGCUUAAUUUGACUCAACACGGGGAACGUUACCAGGUCAGGACACAGCUGGGAUGGACAGAUUGAGAGCUCUUUCUUGAUCCUGUGGACGGUGGUGCAUGGCCGCUCCUGAUUGGUGGAGUGAUUUGUCUGGUUGAUUCCGAUAACGAGUGAGACAUCUGCCUCUCAAUAGCCUCAGGCUCGCAUAUGGUAGGGUUUGGCCCUUGGGUUGCCUGUCACCCACUUUUGGGUUGCGCACGCAAGUGUGUGAUCCAGAAUGUUGUGGUGGAGCGUGUGCGCCCAUGUCUUUGGCUCCCGAGAGCCUCGAAGAUCAUCAGCUUCUCUGAGGUGCUGUGUUCGCUGCCAAGAGCACGCAUGCUAGAGCCAACAGCAGGUCUGUGAUGCUCCCAGAUGUCCUGGGCUGCACGCGCACUACAUUGACUCGGUGAAGGUGUCUCCUUUCCAGCUCACCAGCUUCGUGUGAGCCCUGUUCAGAAAUGAAUGGGAAAUCCUCCAAAUCCGAGCCGUGCUGGGGAUAGAUGAUUGCAACUGUCUGCCUUGAACGUGGAAUGCCUAGUAUGCCUGGGUCAUCAGCCCAGACAGACUGUGUCCCUGCCAUUUGUACACACCGCCCGUCGUUGCURCCGAUGAUAGCUGGAUAGAGUCAUCAGGAGGUCACGGUCACACUUGCCAAAUUCUUUUUGGCAGAGACCCCAGCUGAAAUUGGACGAUGUCCAGCUGUUAGAGGAAGCAAAAGUCGUAACAAGGUUGCUGUAGGUGAACCUGCAGAAGGAUCA